AUUGAACGCUGGCGGCAGGCUUAACACAUGCAAGUCGAGCGGUAGCACAGGGGAGCUUGCUCCCUGGGUGACGAGCGGCGGACGGGUGAGUAAUGUCUGGGAAACUGCCUGAUGGAGGGGGAUAACUACUGGAAACGGUAGCUAAUACCGCAUAACGUCGCAAGACCAAAGAGGGGGACCUUCGGGCCUCUUGCCAUCAGAUGUGCCCAGAUGGGAUUAGCUAGUAGGUGGGGUAAUGGCUCACCUAGGCGACGAUCCCUAGCUGGUCUGAGAGGAUGACAAGACAUGCUGGAACUGAAACACGGUCCAGACUCCUACGGGAGGCAGCAGUGGGGAAUAUUGCACAAUGGGCGCAAGCCUGAUGCAGCCAUGCCGCGUGUGUGAAGAAGGCCUUCGGGUUGUAAAGCACUUUCAGCGCGGAGGAAGGUGGUGAGCUUAAUACGUUCAUCAAUUGACGUUACUCGCAGAAGAAGCACCGGCUAACUCCGUG
Molecule: ribosomal RNA, 490 nt
Filed under: uncultured bacterium
Lineage: Bacteria
Description: partial 16S ribosomal RNA
Rfam family: Bacterial small subunit ribosomal RNA
Source: RNAcentral